Long non-coding RNA from Trichechus manatus latirostris (Florida manatee), 993 nucleotides. RefSeq lists it as uncharacterized. NCBI's taxonomy places the organism in Eukaryota, Metazoa, Chordata, Mammalia, Sirenia, Trichechidae. The record is from RefSeq and is a predicted model, not a curated record. The transcript is spliced from 2 exons.
GCAGCGGCAGCCGGAGACCCCUGUGGAUCGGCAUCGCUCUCCCUGACUCACCGAGCGCCUCUGGAGCAAGAGGAUGUGGUGUGUACCGGUCAGGCCGGGCCCCCGACCUCUUGGGGCUCACACCUCUGUCAGGUGCCAGAAACUUAACAAGAUCACGAGUGAUAAGACAACAUCGUGCCAGAGAGAGAUAAGGGCUAAGACGGGAAGAAGAAAACAAGUAAUGGGCCAGAGUUUGGGAGCGGGAAGCAUGGGCGACUUUUUGAGCCAAGACCUGGGUGAUGAGAGGGAGCAGGCCCGGAAGAUCCGCAGCAAAGGCAUUCCAGAAGGAACAGCAAGUGCAAAGGCCCUGCGUGGAGUGGCUGACUGGACCCAGAGGUGUGUGGGAGACGGUGGUGACAGGAGGCUGAAGAGGCAGGGCCAGGCCCUGAGGGCCUUUCAGGAAGUGUCUUGAUCCACCGUUGAAAACACUGAAUUGAGGACCAAGCCCCACCAGGAAAUGGAGCCAGAAUCCCAGGCCAGCUCUGCGUUACUCCACAGCCGCAUACUCUUUUUGCUACCUUGCCUCUCACCAGGUGAUCUCCACCCCCGGGAAUUUAUCUUUAAGGAAACGACUCAGUAACAGCCAAGAGCUCUUUGGAGAAGAAUGUGCUGCGGCAUUACUUACAGUAAUGAAAAAGUGGAAAGCAUCCAAAUCCUGACCACAAAAGAACAAGGAAGGAAAUCUUGGCCCAUCACAUAGGAAUCUCUUGCAGUUGUUGAAAAUGCUAACUAAAAGACUACUGUGGAGGCAUGGGGAAAUUCCAGUGAUGAUGCAUUAAAAACGCCCUAGGCAAAAUGGUCUGUACACCAUGAUUACAAUUGUGUCAAAAUAUGGCAAAUGAAAAAAAAAUUACUGUAUUUUAUCUGUUUGAAAACAAUAGCAUAUCCAAUCUAACAAUGUAUAUAAAUACACCCUGAAGAUUGUAAACAUUGUAAAUUAAAAAAAAAAAAAAA